This 490-nucleotide ribosomal RNA is filed under the name Guibemantis milingilingy. RNAcentral's name for it is "partial 16S ribosomal RNA". It matches the Rfam family "Bacterial large subunit ribosomal RNA", at positions 1941 to 2597 of the family's 2925-position model. Lineage: Eukaryota; Metazoa; Chordata; Amphibia; Anura; Mantellidae. The record is from RNAcentral.
CCUAACCGUGCGAAGGUAGCAUAAUCAUUUGUUCUUUAAAUGAGGACUUGUAUCAACGGCACCACGAGGGUUAGACUGUCUCCUUUUUCAUAUCAGUAAAACUAAUCUUCCCGUGAAGAAGCGGGAAUAAUUUUAUAAGACGAGAAGACCCCAUGGAGCUUUAAACCCAACUACACCCCCUCUUAAUUUUACUUCUUAACAUUUAGGGUCCUGUAUGUUCUGGUUUUAGGUUGGGGUGACCACGGAGCAUAAACUAGCCUCCGUAAUGAAUUGACCUCCUCUUUAUCCGAGACCUACACCUCUAAGAAUUAGCAUUCUAACAUAAAAUGAUCCGAUAUUCGAUCAACGAACCAAGUUACCCUGGGGAUAACAGCGCAAUCUACUUCAAGAGCCCCUAUCGACAAGUGGGUUUACGACCUCGAUGUUGGAUCAGGGUAUCCCAGCGGUGCAGCAGCUGCUAAAGGUUCGUUUGUUCAACGAUUAAAACCCU